UCUUGGAAGCCCUAGAGAAGGGCGUUCCCCUUCGGGGAAGAGUGACAGGUGGUGCAUGGUUGUCGUCAGCUCGUGUCGUGAGAUGUUGGGUUAAGUCCCGCAACGAGCGCAACCCUUGAUCUUAGUUGCCAGCAUUCAGUUGGGCACUCUAAGGUGACUGCCGGUGACAAACCGGAGGAAGGUGGGGAUGACGUCAAAUCAUCAUGCCCCUUAUGACCUGGGCUACACACGUGCUACAAUGGAUGGAACAAAGGGUCGCGAAGCCGCGAGGUCGAGCCAAUCCCAUAAAUCCAUUCUCAGUUCGGAUUGCAGGCUGCAACUCGCCUGCAUGAAGCCGGAAUCGCUAGUAAUCGCGGAUCAGCAUGCCGCGGUGAAUACGUUCCCGGGCCUUGUACCACCCGCCCCGUAAA
RNAcentral lists this ribosomal RNA (410 nucleotides) under uncultured bacterium. RNAcentral's name for it is "bacterial SSU rRNA". It matches the Rfam family "Bacterial small subunit ribosomal RNA", at positions 990 to 1401 of the family's 1533-position model. The record is from RNAcentral.